Molecule: transfer RNA, 69 nt
Filed under: Pontoporia blainvillei (franciscana)
Lineage: Eukaryota; Metazoa; Chordata; Mammalia; Artiodactyla; Pontoporiidae
Description: transfer RNA-His
Rfam family: tRNA
About the family: Transfer RNA (tRNA) molecules are approximately 80 nucleotides in length. Their secondary structure includes four short double-helical elements and three loops (D, anti-codon, and T loops).
Source: RNAcentral
GUAGAUGUAGUUUAAAAAGAACACUAGUUUGUGAAGCUAGCAACAGAAGAUAAAACCUUCUUAUCUACC